Molecule: long non-coding RNA, 1211 nt
Filed under: Lactuca sativa (garden lettuce)
Lineage: Eukaryota; Viridiplantae; Streptophyta; Magnoliopsida; Asterales; Asteraceae
Description: long non-coding RNA (LSAT_LNC003288)
Source: RNAcentral
CUUUUCUCUCUACAUUUCUCUUCUUUUCUUUUCUUUUCUUUCCUUUAAAUGAAACUCGGAACAGGGUGUAACUCUCUUCUUCUCGUCGGUCUCCUCUCUCAAACCAGUCAUCUUGGUCGCUCACAUUACCGAUUAACAGAAAUACCGCGUUAUUCUCCUUUCAAUCGUCAUCCGCCCGACAUCAAACGCCAUCCGUUGUCACUCUCGUCAAAGUCGUAACCUAGGUUGUUCAAUCGGCUCAAUCGAAGGUUCAAUCUGCAACUAUUCUCCAAGUUCAGUUAUCACCACACUCCACUCACGCCGGUUAGAUUGAAGACGACUAGUUCGUAAGACGUAAAACGUCGACAUUUCCCAGGUGAGAAUCUUGUUUUCUUUCAAUUUUUUCCCAAAAAAUAGAUUUUUUUCUUUUCUUUUUGUUUUUUGUUUUAGGAAGUUUAGUUUUAAUUGGUGAAGAUUGUGUAAUCGUGUUUGUUUGUUUGCGUAUGGGAUUUGGUUAACUUGAAACGAAAGCAUGGCUAUAUGUGUUGGUUGAGUUUAUUAAUGGGAGUUUGUUUGCUACCGAUUUUAGUUCAACUCUUCGUUGUUUUCGAAGAGAAUGACAUGUUGACUAGAAAUUAGAAUUUGGAUGCCGAAUUUUGUGCUGAAAUCAGGAAAAUUCGGUGUAUUUUUGGUGUUUAACCCUAAAUAUCACAACCAUGUUUCUGUAUUUUUGGUGUUUAACCCUAAAUAUCACAACCAUGUUUCUGUAUUUUUGGUGUUUAACCCUCCAUGACUUACCUGAGCUUCCAGAACUUGACAACUUAUUUGCACCUGUGGGACCCGUUUUAGAUGCNUUUGGUGUUUAACCCUAAAUAUCACAACCAUGUUUCUGUAUUUUUGGUGUUUAACCCUCCAUGACUUACCUGAGCUUCCAGAACUUGACAACUUAUUUGCACCUGUGGGACCCGUUUUAGAUGCUCAAAAGCAAGCAGCCGAAUUGUUUGGAGCUACAGAAACAUGCUUCUUAGUUGGCCAUAUAUGUAAUCUUUCCUAAAUUACAGAAAAAUUAAAAAAAAAGUAAAGGUAAAUCUCAUAUUUCAUAAAUUGCAGGUACUUAAUGAUUGUCUUGGACCCUUGCUUCUGAAUAAGCUGAUUAAGUAUCUUCAAGAAGGUCUAUAUCUAUUUUUUAUUUCGUUUGGAUUUAUAGAAGGGUGAUAUAUAUUAGAUAGCCC